This 116-nucleotide ribosomal RNA is filed under the name Pteropus alecto (black flying fox). Lineage: Eukaryota; Metazoa; Chordata; Mammalia; Chiroptera; Pteropodidae. RNAcentral also lists the same sequence under 1 other name. The record is from RNAcentral.
GUCAACGGCCAUGCCACCCUGAACAAACCCAAUGUCUGAUCUCAGAAGCUAAGCAGGGUCAGGCCUGGCUGGUACUUGGAUGGGAGACCACCUAGGAAGACCAGGUGCUGUAGGCA